UCCUUCAUGGGUCUGUAUGGUGCGGCCCUGAUGAGGUCGCAGGAACCCGGUGUGAAUCCGGGACUGUUGCGCAGCGGUGACGGUGACGACGUCGGUGAAACCACUGGGAGUGAUCCUGGGAAGGGCCGACCGAGGGUGAUCCGAAGUCCGAAGGCCCCAUGCAUGGCGCCGUGUC
RNAcentral lists this non-coding RNA (175 nucleotides) under Cutibacterium acnes. Lineage: Bacteria; Bacillati; Actinomycetota; Actinomycetes; Propionibacteriales; Propionibacteriaceae. The record is from RNAcentral.